This 1506-nucleotide ribosomal RNA is filed under the name metagenome. Its description in RNAcentral is "bacterial SSU rRNA". It matches the Rfam family "Bacterial small subunit ribosomal RNA". The record is from RNAcentral.
AGAGUUUGAUCAUGGCUCAGGACGAACGCUGGCGGCGUGCCUAAUACAUGCAAGUAGAACGCUGAAGGGGGGAGCUUGCUCUUCUUGGAUGAGUUGCGAACGGGUGAGUAACGCGUAGGUAACCUGCCUUGUAGCGGGGGAUAACUAUUGGAAACGAUAGCUAAUACCGCAUAACAAUGGAUGACACAUGUCAUUUAUUUGAAAGGGGCAAUUGCUCCACUACAAGAUGGACCUGCGUUGUAUUAGCUAGUAGGUGAGGUAAUGGCUCACCUAGGCGACGAUACAUAGCCGACCUGAGAGGGUGAUCGGCCACACUGGGACUGAGACACGGCCCAGACUCCUACGGGAGGCAGCAGUAGGGAAUCUUCGGCAAUGGGGGCAACCCUGACCGAGCAACGCCGCGUGAGUGAAGAAGGUUUUCGGAUCGUAAAGCUCUGUUGUAAGUCAAGAACGGGUGUGAGAGUGGAAAGUUCACACUGUGACGGUAGCUUACCAGAAAGGGACGGCUAACUACGUGCCAGCAGCCGCGGUAAUACGUAGGUCCCGAGCGUUGUCCGGAUUUAUUGGGCGUAAAGCGAGCGCAGGCGGUUUGAUAAGUCUGAAGUUAAAGGCUGUGGCUCAACCAUAGUUCGCUUUGGAAACUGUCAAACUUGAGUGCAGAAGGGGAGAGUGGAAUUCCAUGUGUAGCGGUGAAAUGCGUAGAUAUAUGGAGGAACACCGGUGGCGAAAGCGGCUCUCUGGUCUGUAACUGACGCUGAGGCUCGAAAGCGUGGGGAGCGAACAGGAUUAGAUACCCUGGUAGUCCACGCCGUAAACGAUGAGUGCUAGGUGUUGGAUCCUUUCCGGGAUUCAGUGCCGCAGCUAACGCAUUAAGCACUCCGCCUGGGGAGUACGACCGCAAGGUUGAAACUCAAAGGAAUUGACGGGGGCCCGCACAAGCGGUGGAGCAUGUGGUUUAAUUCGAAGCAACGCGAAGAACCUUACCAGGUCUUGACAUCCCGAUGCUAUUUCUAGAGAUAGAAAGUUACUUCGGUACAUCGGUGACAGGUGGUGCAUGGUUGUCGUCAGCUCGUGUCGUGAGAUGUUGGGUUAAGUCCCGCAACGAGCGCAACCCCUAUUGUUAGUUGCCAUCAUUCAGUUGGGCACUCUAGCGAGACUGCCGGUAAUAAACCGGAGGAAGGUGGGGAUGACGUCAAAUCAUCAUGCCCCUUAUGACCUGGGCUACACACGUGCUACAAUGGUUGGUACAACGAGUUGCGAGUCGGUGACGGCGAGCUAAUCUCUUAAAGCCAAUCUCAGUUCGGAUUGUAGGCUGCAACUCGCCUACAUGAAGUCGGAAUCGCUAGUAAUCGCGGAUCAGCACGCCGCGGUGAAUACGUUCCCGGGCCUUGUACACACCGCCCGUCACACCACGAGAGUUUGUAACACCCGAAGUCGGUGAGGUAACCUUUUGGAGCCAGCCGCCUAAGGUGGGACAGAUGAUUGGGGUGAAGUCGUAACAAGGUA